CUACCAGCUAACCUUAUUUUUCUGGAUAAAUUUUCUUGAGUGCCGGGCUGAACUUUACCCACUCUGUAAAACCAUUGGCCUAAACCUCUUUCUUUAGCCUUUCCUUUUCUUCUACACCUAAUUAAGAUCAUUCUCAAUUAAUAGUGCUUUGCUCACUAGUACUCCAUAAGUCAUUAUAAGUUUUAAUGUAUUCACUAGUUGUCCA
This 205-nucleotide long non-coding RNA is filed under the name Elaeis guineensis (African oil palm). Its description in RNAcentral is "long non-coding RNA (EGUI_LNC025895)". Lineage: Eukaryota; Viridiplantae; Streptophyta; Magnoliopsida; Arecales; Arecaceae. The record is from RNAcentral.